CCCUUAGAUGUCCGGGGCUGCACGCGCGCUACACUGACUGGCUCAGCGUGUGCCUACCCUACGCCGGCAGGCGCGGGUAACCCGUUGAACCCCAUUCGUGAUGGGGAUCGGGGAUUGCAAUUAUUCCCCAUGAACGAGGAAUUCCUAGUAAACGCAGAUCAUCAAUCUGCAUUGAUUACGUCCCUGCCCUUUGUACACACCGCCCGUCGCACCUACCGAUUGGAUGGUCCGGUGAAGCCUCGGGAUUGUGGUUCUUGCCGCUUUAUUGUGGCGUGACCGCGAGAACUUGUCUAAACCUUAUCAUCUAGAGGAAGGUGAAGUCGUAACA
RNAcentral lists this ribosomal RNA (328 nucleotides) under uncultured eukaryote. RNAcentral describes it as "partial 18S ribosomal RNA". It matches the Rfam family "Eukaryotic small subunit ribosomal RNA", at positions 1470 to 1796 of the family's 1831-position model. The record is from RNAcentral.